UUAGCGACAGGCUUAACACAUGCAAGUCGAGGGGCAGCACAGGUAGCAAUACCGGGUGGCGACCGGCGCACGGGUGAGUAACGCGUAUGCAACUUGCCUAUCAGAGGGGGAUAACCCGGCGAAAGUCGGACUAAUACCGCAUGAAGCAGGGGCCCCGCAUGGGGAUAUUUGCUAAAGAUUCAUCGCUGAUAGAUAGGCAUGCGUUCCAUUAGGCAGUUGGCGGGGUAACGGCCCACCAAACCGACGAUGGAUAGGGGUUCUGAGAGGAAGGUCCCCCACAUUGGUACUGAGACACGGACCAAACUCCUACGGGAGGCAGCAGUGAGGAAUAUUGGUCAAUGGCCGAGAGGCUGAACCAGCCAAGUCGCGUGAGGGAUGAAGGUUCUAUGGAUCGUAAACCUCUUUUAUAAGGAAAUAAAGUGCGGGACGUGUCCCGUUUUGUAUGUACCUUAUGAAUAAGGAUCGGCUAACUCCGUGCCAGCAGCCGCGGUAAUACGGAGGACCCGAGCGUUAUCCGGAUUUAUUGGGUUUAAAGGGUGCGUAGGCGGCCUUUUAAGUCAGCGGUGAAAGUCUGUGGCUCAACCAUAGAAUUGCCGUUGAAACUGGGGGGCUUGAGUAUGUUUGAGGCAGGCGGAAUGCGUGGUGUAGCGGUGAAAUGCAUAGAUAUCACGCAGAACCCCGAUUGCGAAGGCAGCCUGCCAAGCCAUUACUGACGCUGAUGCACGAAAGCGUGGGGAUCAAACAGGAUUAGAUACCCUGGUAGUCCACGCAGUAAACGAUGAUCACUAGCUGUUUGCGAUACACUGUAAGCGGCACAGCGAAAGCGUUAAGUGAUCCACCUGGGGAGUACGCCGGCAACGGUGAAACUCAAAGGAAUUGACGGGGGCCCGCACAAGCGGAGGAACAUGUGGUUUAAUUCGAUGAUACGCGAGGAACCUUACCCGGGUUUGAACGCAUUCGGACCGAGGUGGAAACACCUUUUCUAGCAAUAGCCGUUUGCGAGGUGCUGCAUGGUUGUCGUCAGCUCGUGCCGUGAGGUGUCGGCUUAAGUGCCAUAACGAGCGCAACCCUUGCCACUAGUUACUAACAGGUAAAGCUGAGGACUCUGGUGGGACUGCCAGCGUAAGCUGCGAGGAAGGCGGGGAUGACGUCAAAUCAGCACGGCCCUUACAUCCGGGGCGACACACGUGUUACAAUGGCGUGGACAAAGGGAGGCCACCUGGCGACAGGGAGCGAAUCCCCAAACCACGUCUCAGUUCGGAUCGGAGUCUGCAACCCGACUCCGUGAAGCUGGAUUCGCUAGUAAUCGCGCAUCAGCCAUGGCGCGGUGAAUACGUUCCCGGGCCUUGUACACACCGCCCGUCAAGCCAUGGGAGCCGGGGGUACCUGAAGUCCGUAACCGCGAGGAUCGGCCUAGGGUAAAACUGGUGACUGGG
This 1436-nucleotide ribosomal RNA is filed under the name uncultured organism. RNAcentral describes it as "SSU rRNA". It matches the Rfam family "Bacterial small subunit ribosomal RNA". The record is from RNAcentral.